RNAcentral lists this ribosomal RNA (300 nucleotides) under uncultured Halogranum sp. Its description in RNAcentral is "bacterial SSU rRNA". It matches the Rfam family "Bacterial small subunit ribosomal RNA", at positions 496 to 795 of the family's 1533-position model. Lineage: Archaea; Methanobacteriati; Methanobacteriota; Halobacteria; Halobacteriales; Haloferacaceae. The record is from RNAcentral.
GGGAAUGACGUGCCGGCGGCAGGGGGAAGACGUGGGGGGCAGGCGUGGUCCGGAUGGAUUGGGAGUAAAGAGCGUGGAGGCGGCCAUGGAGGUCCGCUGUGAAAACUCGAGGCUCAACCGCGAGAUGUCGGGGGAAACCGCAUGGCUAGAGUCCGGAAGAGGAGAGUGGAAUUCCCGGUGUAGCGGUGAAAUGCGCAGAUAUCGGGAAGAACACCCGUGGCGAAGGCGGCUCUCUGGGACGGUACUGACGCUGAGACGCGAAAGCGUGGGGAGCGAACAGGAUUAGAUACCCGGGUAGUC